This 1403-nucleotide long non-coding RNA is filed under the name Panax ginseng (ginseng). RNAcentral describes it as "long non-coding RNA (PGIN_LNC008695)". Lineage: Eukaryota; Viridiplantae; Streptophyta; Magnoliopsida; Apiales; Araliaceae. The record is from RNAcentral.
GUCUAAAAUUGUUUGUGGAACAUAUGUAGAUUCGAGGCUGCUGGUUCUUCGUGGUGUGAAUGGAUCAGCACUCUUCUUGACGAGGUCUUGUAUAAACAAAAAUUGUACAUAAUAAGUCAAAAAUUAUGUUUAAGAAAGCAUUAUGUAUACAGUUUUCCAGCACAACUAACAGUUAAAUCAUUCUGUCCAUCUUUUACGGGUUGUGUGAAAAGCAAAACCAAAAGUAUUUGUAAUUUCGGUUAAUUUGGACUUAUCCCGCUUUUUGAAGCGCCAAAGUAUGCUAAAUCUACUGCAGCGGGUUGUAGCUUUGUAUAUUCAGGGGUUCAACUGGAGUCUCAACCCCACACCAAAAAUAAAUAAAAAAUAAAUUUUAAAUCUGUGCUAUGGGUUCAUAUGUAUCUAAUUUUUUGAUUAGUGGAGUGCAACAUUCUAGUUAGUUCGGCUUGUUCUGUAAUCGCUUAGUUAUAACUUAUUCCUAGAAGGGCUUGAUAUGCACAGGCGGUAGAAUGUGUUUUUAACAGUCCUUUUUAUGCAGGUUUGCUGUUCCUGUAUGAUAUGUACUCUUGUUGCAGUAUCCUUGUGUCAACGAGGAGUUUAUGUGAUUACCCAACGAAAUAUAUAUAUAUAUAUAUAUAUAUAUAUAUAUAUAUAUAUAUAUAUAUAUCAGCCAGGCGUACCACAACAAGAAAGAAUGUUUGCACGCUAGCGAUCAAUAUCUUGUGCAGUAACCAAUGUCAACAUGAAAUUAUCUCGAUGUUCUAAAAGGCAUGGCCACAUUCCAUGUCCACAGAACAUAGCACCUGUCAGCAAUGUUUAAAAUAAAAUUUAGAAAAAAUAAGGCCGCAAAAGAUGCCCAUAUGAUGAAAGCUAAACAUAUUAACAACCAUAAUGUAACCACUCAAAACAAACUAUAGAUGGUCUUCUCUGGGCCCUCGCGUACUAUUAUUCAUAAAGCUAAAAAUGCUUCAAAAAACCAGGACCUAUUACUUGGUGAUAAUAUUACGGUUCUUACUUCUUACGAUAAACCAUCAGAAGGGGAAAAAUUAGCGCCAAAUGAACACCAAUGAAUUGGAUUGAGUCUAGAAAUACAAACAGCCUUUCUCUGCUAGCUUGCUUCUCUCAUCUUCGGUGCAAGCACUUGCAAGUCCCAAAAAGGGAUACCAUAAGAACAGCCUAAAAAUCUUCAAAUCCUCUUGAAACAAGAGUAUUAGUUCCUUUGCUCAAUUGUUAAAGCAAGCUGGAAAAAACACAAAGCACAAAGCCACUUUGAAAUUCAGGAAGCAAGUAUACACCGAGAAUGCCGGAAGAUUUGAUCUGCACAUCAAACUGACAUGCCAUGAGAACAAAGCAGGAAAAGAAAGAAACAAAUGAAAUUCACUGCUAGACCUUUUACACAGUAAAUC